AGUAAAAGACAAUUCUGCCCAUCUGUGUGUCUGUCUGUCCAUCUACAGAGCCCAAAUUCUUUAAAAGGUCUCCACCCAUUGGACAGAAUUUUACAUACUUUUGCACUUUUCAUAAUGAUACUCCGAAAGAGAUAUUCAUCUGUAAGGGAGAAGAUCCAUCUAUAUGUCCACCUCUAGUAACCAGCACACAGCCCGACAAAACUGGGAAGUUUUCCAUGAAGAAGUCAGAGUCCAAAGGUCAAAGGUCAAAGACCGAUUUCAAUGUCAGCAUAACAGUGAGAGAAGUAACAGCAAACGACAGUGGGAUAUACUGGUGCGGAGCAGAAAGCAAGGACAAAACACGCAGCAAUGUGUUCUUCCACAAAUUCUCAAUGACUGUGGUACCAACACCAACACCCACAUCUGGUGUUUCUUCAACCGAGCUAAAUACUUCAACACCUGCUGAGGAUAAUGGUAAGACAGCUUGUUUAAUAUCUUAAACCUUCUGCUGCAGAAGAGCAAGAGGAGAUCCAUCCUCAUGUAUUGAUAAAAUAAUAAUCUGGACAUUUUCUUUGCUCUGUGGUUUAUCUUGCAGGCGGCUCCAACAUGCUCAUCCCUGUGACUGUCUCAGUAGCUGUACUGUUGCUGUUUGUGCUCAUUUUGAUCAUUUUCUACAAAAGAUUUACUCAUUCAAAAAACACAAGAAAUGGAGCGACAGCACAGGACAUCAAAGAGGACAAUAUCUACGCUGAGAUACAAGCCCCUGCCAGCGUGCAUUACUCUACCAUCGUCUUUAAAAACAGCUCCAACAAAGCUGGUGGUGAUAAACUGAUCGUCAAACCCAGAUCUGCCUGUGAAUACUCAACUGUGAAGCACAGUGACAGUCCAGUCUACUAUACUGUCAACAAACCUUCCACAUCUUCACAGGAUCCACUCUACUCAACAGUCUCCAACAAAUGGUAACAAUGAGGAAAGAUCAUUUUGUCAUUGUUACAAAUGGGAUUUAUGAGGUUUACUACAUUUAUGGCCAUGAUUUCAGGAAUUACUCCAAGAUUUUCAGAUGCUGGGCUCAGUCAACUUAAAUCCCAGUUCUCUGAAGUUGUGCAGGAUUCACUUAAUCAGCCAUGAAUCACAAAAGCUUGGUGACAGGAUGAUGUAUGAUAUCUAGAUGAGUCCUUUGUUUGACUUAGACUGUUUCAAUCCAUAUUAGAGCUUCACCAAUACUUCUCUCUUGAUUUAUUACCUCAGUAAACACUUUCUUGAUGAGUUCAUGGUCUCAAUCUCUAGUUUCUAGUCUUCUUCAAUACAGCAUGAUUUUCAUUUUGUUCCAUUAUUAUACAUUUAUGUAACGGUGCAGGCUAGAAAAGUCAAUUGAGGAAGAGCUUUAAAAUAUACCUGUAACAUAAAUCACUGUCUAUCAUGUAGCCUAAGUUCUAAUUUCUGCAUACCGUUUUCAAAUGUAUAUUUCUCAAUUUCAACAAUUUUGUCAUUAAACCUGAAUAAUGUUGGACACUAGGGCUGCACGAUUCUGGAAAAAAUGUGAAUCACAAUUUUUUUGCUUAGAAUUGAGAUCACGAUUCUCUGGCACGAUUUUUUUCACAAAAUGUUUAUUGCACUGAUGAACUUGAACAAAACAAAAAAAAACAUUGUAGUAUGGCAGAGGCAUACUACUAUGCCUCUGCCAAAGCAAUGUUUUUUUGGUUUUGUUAGUUCUAUCAUUGGAUGAGAAAUGAUUUUUACAAAAGUAAAAAAAGUCUCCAAGAUGAGAGGGCAUCCUGUAAUACCUCAUGUUGUACAGUGUUUAUUGGGGCCGUAGCUUUGGCUAGGUGAUAUGUGAUAGCUGCUGUGAUCGGCUUUCUAAAACGGAGGCAUAAUAUUCUUCCUUUUCCAAAAGCCGCCUCAGAGGUAGGCGUAAACAUGUGACGUGACGUGAAGCCCGAAGUUGAACAGUUGACAACUAAUUUGUCUUCAAAAUAAGAGCUUUACAUUGCACCCCAUUGGAGUUUAGAACUGGGUUCUUAGCGGGGGGCUUUUAAUUUGAAAGUAGCGACCGUUCCUAGCCUGUCGCUACAACAACAAGCUAGCAGUCGAGGCGGAAAUAAGUGCACCGUCCGAGGCAGCAAAUCGGCGGACCAAAACAGACCCCCAAUUUGCCGCCCUCUGUCUAAAACCGCGGACCUAGCCGUCAAUAGGACGGGCAGAUUGGUGGCUUGCUGCCCCGUCUAAAAACGGCUUCUCACUCACUCCUUCCAAACACUUAACUGCAGGUGGGCUUCCUCCACUGAAUCACGUGUUGUAAAGACGCUUUACCACAGGUUGAGGGAGGAGGCAGCGGCCGUGCUGCGCUUGGGGGCGCUUCAAAAAAUCCGGGAGGAAAAUAGGAGCAUUUGUUUGUGAUUCGGCUCGAGAUAUAAAAUGCUUCAGAAUCGCUGUGUGUAGAAAUGAGAUCACGUGUAUGUGUGAAUCAAGAUCGCGAUUUUUUAACGAUUUUUUGUGCAGCCCUAUUGGACACAUCCAUUUUCAUUUCAAUGUUCUGUAGAAACACACAAUUCUGUAUAUUAGCUGUAGCUUUUUUUCUUUUUAAAAGCCAAAGUAGCAGGUAACAUAAUUAUUAUUUAUACAUUGUAUGAAAUAUAUUGCAAUGCUUUUUGGAUUGUGGUGGUGUGGACAGUGGCGGUCCUAGCUCGCCCUGGGUGGAACUCACCUACGGCCUUUUAUUUCAUUUUAUAGCUACUCAAGCAUUUUAUUGUAUAUAGUAUUUUAUUGUUUUUUGUAUAUUGUAUAUAGUACUUUAUUGUUUCUAUUGCCGCCCUCGCCAUCCUGUCCCGCCUGCCGAGGCGUUUUGCCUUCGAUGUAGGCCUCCCACUCCGACUCCCAAGUUGACCAGUCUUGCCGGAAGACUCCCACCCCCGCUCUUGGGGUAUUCAGCCUUUAAGUAUUGGAUUUGUUGUAACAGACAUUGUAUGUAUGAAAUGUGCAAUACAAAUAAAAACUGGCUCAUCUUACCCAACAUAAACUACUUUAUCAGUC
RNAcentral lists this long non-coding RNA (3009 nucleotides) under Sparus aurata (gilthead seabream). RNAcentral's name for it is "lncRNA (ENSSAUG00010005178.1)". The record is from RNAcentral. Lineage: Eukaryota; Metazoa; Chordata; Actinopteri; Spariformes; Sparidae.